GGCUUCUUGGUCCAGUGGUCAGGACGGCACCGAUAAUCCGCCUCGAAUGUGUCCUCGUUAAGGCCUCCUCAUCUACGAGUUGAGAUGUGCGGGCCUUGAGAAGGAUUCAUUCGAGGCUGGCUGUCAUGCAGACUGAGGUUCAAAUCCUUGAGAGGCCA
This is a non-coding RNA of Pyrenophora tritici-repentis Pt-1C-BFP, 158 nucleotides long. NCBI's taxonomy places the organism in Eukaryota, Fungi, Ascomycota, Dothideomycetes, Pleosporales, Pleosporaceae. The record is from the annotation of a RefSeq genome assembly.